GGGGGCCGAAUACUUUCGCAAGGCACUGUAUAUCCAUCCUGCCCUGCCUUUAUAAAGUCUUUGAAAGCCAAGUGAACAAACAGAUCACCGACCAUUUUGAAUCCCACCGUACCUUCUCCGUUAUGCAAUCUGGUAUCCAAGCUAGUCACGGGUGCACCUCAGGCAUGCUCAAGGUCCUAAACGAUAUCAUAACCACCAUUGAUAAAAGACAGUACUAUACUAUCGACCUGGCCAAGGCUUUCGACUCUGUCAAUCACCGUAUUCUUAUCGGCAGACUCAACAGCCUUGGUUUCUCUAAUGACUGCCUUGCCUGAUUUACUAACUACUUCUGAGAUAGAGUUCAGUGUGUCAAAUCGGGCAUGUUGUCCGGACCUCUGGCAGUCUCUAUUUGGCUGCCAAAGGAGUCAAUUCUCGGGCCGACUCUUUUCUCUGUAUUUAUCAAUGAUGUCGCUCCUGCUUCGGGUGAUUCUUUGAUCCACCUCUACGCAGACGACACCAUUCUGUGCCUUUCUUUGGACUCUGUGUUAACUAACCUCCAGACGAGCUUCAAUGCCAUACAACACUCCUUCCGUGGCCUCCAACUCCUCUUAAACGCUAGUAAAACUAAAUGCAUGCUCUUCAACCGAUCAAAUCAAAUCAAAUGUAUUUAUAUAGCCCUUCGUACAUCAGCUGAUAUCUCAAAGUGCUGUACAGAAACCCAGCCUAAAACCCCAAACAGCAAACAAUGCAGGUGUAAAAGCACAGUGGCUAGGAAAAACUCCCUAGAAAGGCCAAAACCUAGGAAGAAACCUAGAGAGGAACCGGGCUAUGUGGGGUGGCCAGUCCUCUUCUGGCUGUGCCGGGUAGAGAUUAUAACAGAACAUGACCAAGAUGUUCAAAUGUUCAUAAAUGACCAGCAUGGUCGAAUAAUAAUAAGGCAGAACAGUUUAAACUGGAGCAGCAGCACAGUCAGGUGGACUGGGGACAGCAAGGAGCCAUCAUGUCAGGUAGUCCUGGGGCACGGUCCUAGGGCUCAGGUCCUCCGAGAGAGAGAAAGAAAGAGAGAAUUAGAGAGAGCAUAUGUGGGGUGGCCAGUCCUCUUCUGGCUGUGCCGGGUGGAGAUUAUAACAGAACGUGGCCAAGAUGUUCAAAUGUUCAUAAAUGACCAGCAUGGUUGAAUAAUAGUAAGGCAGAACAGUUGAAACUGGAGCAGCAGCAUGGCCAGGUGGACUGGGGACAGCAAGGAGUCAUCAUGUCAGGUAGUCCUGGGGCAUGGUCCUAGGGCUCAGGUCCUCCGAGAGAGAGAAAGAAAGAGAGAAGGAGAGAAUUAGAGAACGCACACUUAGAUUCACACAGGACACCGAAUAGGACAGGAGAAGUACUCCAGAUAUAACAAACUGACCCUAGCCCCCCGACACAUAAACUACUGCAGCAUAAAUACUGGAGGCUGAGACAGGAGGGGUCAGGAGACACUGUGGCCCCAUCCGAGGACACCCCGGACAGGGCCAAACAGGAAGGAUAUAACCCCACCCACUUUGCCAAAGCACAGCCCCCACACCACUAGAGGGAUAUCUUCAACCACCAACUUACCAUCCUGAGACAAGGCCGAGUAUAGCCCACAAAGAUCUCCGCCACGGU
Molecule: long non-coding RNA, 1617 nt
Organism: Oncorhynchus keta (chum salmon)
Lineage: Eukaryota; Metazoa; Chordata; Actinopteri; Salmoniformes; Salmonidae
Exons: 3
Source: RefSeq, a predicted model, not a curated record